GCUGGUUCUCCCCGAAAUGCAUUUAGGUGCAGCGUCGUGUGUUUCUUGCCGGAGGUAGAGCACUGGAUAGGCGAUGGGCCCUACCGGGUUACUGACCUUAGCCAAACUCCGAAUGCCGGUAAGUGAGAGCGCGGCAGUGAGACUGUGGGGGAUAAGCUCCAUGGUCGAGAGGGAAACAGCCCAGAGCAUCGACUAAGGCCCCUAAGCGUGUGCUAAGUGGGAAAGGAUGUGGAGUCGCAGAGACAACCAGGAGGUUGGCUUAGAAGCAGCCAUCCUUGAAAGAGUGCGUAAUAGCUCACUGGUCAAGUGAUUCCGCGCCGACAAUGUAGCGGGGCUCAAGCACACCGCCGAAGUCAUGUCAUUGCAGUAUGUACUCCUAACGGGGACUGUGAUGGGUAGG
This 400-nucleotide ribosomal RNA is filed under the name Winogradskyella ouciana. Its description in RNAcentral is "Winogradskyella sp. ZXX205 partial 23S ribosomal RNA". It matches the Rfam family "Bacterial large subunit ribosomal RNA", at positions 848 to 1232 of the family's 2925-position model. The record is from RNAcentral. Lineage: Bacteria; Pseudomonadati; Bacteroidota; Flavobacteriia; Flavobacteriales; Flavobacteriaceae.